RNAcentral lists this ribosomal RNA (253 nucleotides) under uncultured bacterium. Its description in RNAcentral is "partial 16S ribosomal RNA". It matches the Rfam family "Bacterial small subunit ribosomal RNA", at positions 524 to 776 of the family's 1533-position model. The record is from RNAcentral.
UACGUAGGGUCCGUGCGUUGUCCGGAAUUAUUGGGCGUAAAGGGCUCGUAGGCGGUUCGUCACGUCGGGAGUGAAAACUCGGGGCUUAACCCCGAGCCUGCUUCCGAUACGGGCAGACUAGAGGUAGGCAGGGGAGAGCGGAACUCCUGGUGUAGCGGUGGAAUGCGCAGAUAUCAGGAAGAACACCGGUGGCGAAGGCGGCUCUCUGGGCCUUACCUGACGCUGAGGAGCGAAAGCGUGGGUAGCGAACAGG